Molecule: ribosomal RNA, 511 nt
Filed under: uncultured Enterococcus sp.
Lineage: Bacteria; Bacillati; Bacillota; Bacilli; Lactobacillales; Enterococcaceae
Description: bacterial SSU rRNA
Rfam family: Bacterial small subunit ribosomal RNA
Source: RNAcentral
GACGAACGCUGGCGGCGUGCCUAAUACAUGCAAGUCGAACGCUUCUUCCCUCCCGAGUGCUUGCACUCAAUUGGAAAGAGGAGUGGCGGACGGGUGAGUAACACGUGGGUAACCUACCCAUCAGAGGGGGAUAACACUUGGAAACAGGUGCUAAUACCGCAUAACAGUUUAUGCCGCAUGGCAUAAGAGUGAAAGGCGCUUUCGGGUGUCACUGAUGGAUGGACCCGCGGUGCAUUAGCUAGUUGGUGAGGUAACGGCUCACCAAGGCCACGAUGCAUAGCCGACCUGAGAGGGUGAUCGGCCACACUGGGACUGAGACACGGCCCAGACUCCUACGGGAGGCAGCAGUAGGGAAUCUUCGGCAAUGGACGAAAGUCUGACCGAGCAACGCCGCGUGAGUGAAGAAGGUUUUCGGAUCGUAAAACUCUGUUGUUAGAGAAGAACAAGGACGUUAGUAACUGAACGUCCCCUGACGGUAUCUAACCAGAAAGCCACGGCUAACUACGUGCCA